AUUGAUGUUUGCCACUAAGAUAACUUUUUAGCACCAGAACCCGGGUUUAAAUUGGUGCUUGAAAGCCCUGUUUGUUUCAGAUUCCAUCCCUCCCUGGGAAGCUGCUAGGAAACAGAAACUGCUGCUGCAAUUUCCCAGCUUCUGAAAUGGCAGCAAGUCCAUUUCCAUAUCUUUGAUGUUGCUCCCAUGAAGAUGUGAGUGCACUCAGAAGUGCUGGAUAACAGAGCCAGGUACUGAGAUUGUGCCUGACACCAGAGUGACUUUGCCUCUGUGGGUUGGCCUCAGUGAGGGCCAAGUGCAAGCACAGCCACAGGAACAGCACAGAGGCUGUCUCCCUGCAGAGAGGAACAGAAUGUGCCACAGUGAGUGAUGAAAGGAGGAAAGUGCCUCCUUCAGGAGUGAUGCCCCUCAGCCCCGGAUUUCCUGCCAGUUUCUUCAGCAUGCCCUU
RNAcentral lists this long non-coding RNA (448 nucleotides) under Zonotrichia albicollis (white-throated sparrow). RNAcentral describes it as "lncRNA (ENSZALG00000013794.1)". Lineage: Eukaryota; Metazoa; Chordata; Aves; Passeriformes; Passerellidae. The record is from RNAcentral.